GACGAACGCUGGCGGCGUGCCUAAUACAUGCAAGUAGAACGCACAGGAUGCACCGUAGUUUACUACACCGUAUUCUGUGAGUUGCGAACGGGUGAGUAACGCGUAGGUAACCUGCCUGGUAGCGGGGGAUAACUAUUGGAAACGAUAGCUAAUACCGCAUAAGAACAUUUACUGCAUGGUAGAUGUUUAAAAGGUGCAAAAGCAUCACUACCAGAUGGACCUGCGUUGUAUUAGCUAGUUGGUGAGGUAACGGCUCACCAAGGCAACGAUACAUAGCCGACCUGAGAGGGUGAUCGGCCACACUGGGACUGAGACACGGCCCAGACUCCUACGGGAGGCAGCAGUAGGGAAUCUUCGGCAAUGGGGGGAACCCUGACCGAGCAACGCCGCGUGAGUGAAGAAGGUUUUCGGAUCGUAAAGCUCUGUUGUUAAGGAAGAACGUGUGUGAGAGNGGAAAGUUCACACAGNGACGGUANU
This 477-nucleotide ribosomal RNA is filed under the name uncultured bacterium. Its description in RNAcentral is "bacterial SSU rRNA". It matches the Rfam family "Bacterial small subunit ribosomal RNA", at positions 28 to 479 of the family's 1533-position model. The record is from RNAcentral.